Molecule: ribosomal RNA, 1196 nt
Filed under: Brama brama (Atlantic pomfret)
Lineage: Eukaryota; Metazoa; Chordata; Actinopteri; Scombriformes; Bramidae
Description: partial 16S ribosomal RNA
Rfam family: Bacterial large subunit ribosomal RNA
Source: RNAcentral
GCAGAGAUCCCCCCUCGUACCUUUUGCAUCAUGAUUUAGCCAGUACCCCUCAAGCAAAGAGCAUUUUAGUUUGAUCCCCCGAAACUACGUGAGCUACUCCAAGACAGCCUAUCAUAGGGCAAAUCCGUCUCUGUGGCAAAAGAGUGGAAAGAGCUUUGAGUAGAGGUGACAAACCUACCGAACCUAGUUAUAGCUGGUUGCCUGAGAAUUGGAUAUGAGUUCAGCCUCUAGGCUUCUUUCCAAACCAAGAGAGUUAAUCAAAGGGGGUACAGCCCCUUUGAUAUAAGACACAACUUUUACAGGAGGGUAAAGAUCAUAAUCACCAAGGACAUAUGCCCUAGUGGGCCUAAAAGCAGCCACCUAUAUAGAAAGCGUUAAAGCUCAAGCAUUAUAUUCAGAUAAAACCUCCCAACCCCCUAACACUACCAGGCCUUCUCAUGCAAACAUGAGAGUGCCCAUGCUAAUAUGAGUAAUAAGAAGGGGCUUUCUCCUGACACAUGUGUAAAUCAGAACGAACCCCCACUGAAACUUACCGGCCCCAAACAAAGAGGGCAAUGGACAAGAGCCAGAAAAACGUCCACCGUUAACCCUACACCGGUGUGCCCCCCAGGAAAGACUAAAAGAAAGAGAAGGAACUCGGCAAACCAGCCUCGCCUGUUUACCAAAAACAUCGCCUCUUGCGAAUAUAAGAGGUCCCGCCUGCCCUGUGACUAUAUGUUUAACGGCCGCGGUAUUUUAACCGUGCGAAGGUAGCGCAAUCACUUGUCUUUUAAAUGAAGACCUGUAUGAAUGGCACGACGAGGGCUUAACUGUCUCCUCCCUCAAGUCAAUGAAAUUGAUCUCCCCGUGCAGAAGCGAGGAUGAGCCCAUAAGACGAGAAGACCCUAUGGAGCUUUAGACAUAUGGUAUAUCCCGUUAAAUACCCCCGGAUAAAGGACUUAACUAAAGGAACCAUACCCCCCUGUCUUUGGUUGGGGCGACCACGGGGAAACAAAGAACCCCCAUGUGGAAGGGGAGCACUCCUACAACCAAGAGCCGCAACUCUAGUGAACAGAACUUCUGACCAAAUAUGAUCCGGCAGUGCCGAUCAAUGGACCGAGUUACCCUAGGGAUAACAGCGCAAUCCUCUUUUAGAGCCCAUAUCGACAAGAGGGUUUACGACCUCGAUGUUGGAUCAGGACAUCCUAAUGGUGCAA